AACACAUGCAAGUCCGAACGGACCGCUUGGGCGCUUUGCGUUUGGGUUGGUUAGUGGCGAACGGGUGAGUAACACGUGAGUAACCUGCCCCCUUCUUCGGGAUAACGUUCGGAAACGGAUGCUAAUACCGGGUAUUUACCUCAUGUCGCAUGGUGUGGGGUGGAAAGGUUUUUUCUGGUGGGGGAUGGGCUCGCGGCCUAUCAGCUUGUUGGUGGGGUGAUGGCCUACCAAGGCUUUGACGGGUAACCGGCCUUGAGAGGGUGACCGGUCACAUUGGGACUGAGAUACGGCCCAGACUCCUACGGAAGGCAGCAGUGGGGAAUUUUGCACAAUGGGCAAAAGCCUGACGCAACAACGCCGCGUGAGGGAAGAAGGCCUUCAGGAUCGUAAAACUCUGUUCGCUCAGAGAAGAAUCAAGGCAUAAUAGUAACUGAUUAUGUUCCAGUUGACGGUAGUCGGUAACCAGAAAGCGCCGGCUAACUACGUGCCAGCAGCCUGCGGUAAUACCUUAGGUGGCACAGCCGUUGUCCGGAUUUAUUGGGCGUAAAGGGCGCAGGCGGCUUGUCGCUUAAGUCUGACGUGAAAACCCACAGCUCAACCGUGGAGCGUGCAGUGGAAACGGGCUGGAACUUGAGUGCAGAAGAGGAGAGUGGAAUUCCAUGGUGUAGCCGGUGAAAUGCGCAGAUAUCAUGGAGGAACACCAGUGGCGAAGGCGACUCUCUGGGCCGUAACUGACGCUGAGGAGCGAAAGCGUGGGGAGCAAACAGGAUUAUGAUACCCUGGGUAGUCCACGCUGUAAACGUUGGGCACUAGGUGUGGGGGCCGCCCUUGGUUUCUGCGCCGUAGCUAACGCUUUAAGUGCCCCGCCUGGGGAGUACGGCCGCAAGGCUAAAACUCAAAGGAAUUGACGGGGGCCCGCACAAGCGGCGGAGCAUGCGGAUUAAUUCGAUGCAACGCGAAGAACCUUACCAAGGCUUGACAUGCACCGCGACACUGCAGAGAUGUGGUGGCCUUCCGGGGUGGUGUGCAGGUGGUUGCAUGGUUGUCGCACUCGUGUCGUGAGAUGUUGGGUUAAGUCCCGCAACAGCGCAACCUUGCCCU
RNAcentral lists this ribosomal RNA (1101 nucleotides) under Granulicatella sp. cps01.09. RNAcentral's name for it is "bacterial SSU rRNA". It matches the Rfam family "Bacterial small subunit ribosomal RNA", at positions 50 to 1110 of the family's 1533-position model. The record is from RNAcentral. Lineage: Bacteria; Bacillati; Bacillota; Bacilli; Lactobacillales; Carnobacteriaceae.